Pelobates cultripes (western spadefoot toad) is the source of this 220-nucleotide non-coding RNA. NCBI's taxonomy places the organism in Eukaryota, Metazoa, Chordata, Amphibia, Anura, Pelobatidae. The record is from the annotation of a GenBank genome assembly.
CUCAAGUUAUGAGGUUUUUUUUUGUUUUUUAUUAUUUCUUUACAUUUAGGGGUAAGGUAGCUCUCCAGAUUUUGGGUUUUGUUUUUAUUUUUUUUAAAUCACAGCUUCCAUGAUGCUUUGUCAUUGCCAAAGCAGGCUUCCUCAAACUCUGGCCCUCCAGAUGUCGCUGAACUCCAACUCCCAUGAUUCUAUGAAUGAAAUAGACAGGCUGAGAAUCAUG